AUUGCUUUCAGGCCCUCCCCUAUCUCCUUUGUUUGAAGUAUUUUUUCAGGGCGGCGGCACCACCACCAACCAAUCAGAAAAAAGAGCGGAUCAAAGUAUAAAGUCUGAGACUUCCGUCGCCCAAAAACCUAUUAAAUCUCUCUCUGUUGACUCCCAAUCUCCGUCAGAAACAAUCGCUAACCACGAUGUCAUUCACCGGAACCACGCUCUCCGCCGGCGGAGGCGGCAAGCCCUUCUUCUGCUACCAAUGCAACCGCACUGUCACCGUUACGGUCUCGCCCGCUGAUGACCCCUUCUGUCCUCUUUGCAACGGAGGCUUCCUGGAGGAAUACGAAAACCCUAACCCCAGCCCCACCACCGAUUCAAACCCGGCACGGCACCUGAAUCCUUUUGCCGACCCAUUUUUCUCCUCAUCGGAUCCCUUCGCCUCCUUUCUCCCCCUCCUGUUUCCUUCCUCUCCCAGCGAUCUCCAAAAUCCUACUUUCAUUGGAACAGCAUCCAGGUCCCGAUCCGGCUCCGUUGACCAUGCGGAGUUCGACCCGUUCGCCUUUCUCCAGAACCAUCUACAGCACCUCAGGUCAGGUGGGGCUCAAAUUCAGUUCGUGAUCGAGAACAACCCAUCGGAUUCAGGGUUUCGUCUGCCAUCCAAUAUCGGGGAUUAUUUCGUCGGGCCCGGUCUUGAACAGCUGAUUCAGCAACUUGCCGAGAACGAUCCGAAUCGAUAUGGGACUCCGCCUGCGUCUAAAUCGGCGAUUGAUACGCUGCCGACUGUCAAGGUGACCCAUGAAUUCUUGAAUACUGAAAUGAACCAGUGUGCAGUUUGCAUGGAUGAGUUCGACCUAGGUGCUGAGGCCAAGCAGAUGCCGUGCAAGCAUUUGUACCACAAGGAUUGUAUCUUGCCGUGGCUCGAAUUGCAUAAUUCGUGCCCUGUCUGUCGGCACGAGUUACCCACUGAUGAUCCGGACUAUGAGAGGAGGAGGGUCGGUGGCAACCAAGGGAGCUCUGGAAGUGAUGGUCCUGGUGGGGAGGCGCAGAGUGAGAAUCAAGCAGCAGAGAGGCGGUUUCGGAUAUCUUUGCCAUGGCCGUUUGGGGGACAUGGGUCAACCAGUGAUGGUGGGGCGGGGAGCUAGACAAGAAGAUAUUGAUGGAAGAUAAUAUUUCAAAUUCGAUUCUUCCUCAUUGCUAAGCAAGGGAAAUUGGUUUUCACACCAAUUCAUUUUUCAAGGCAUUGGACUUGGUUGCUUGAAGGACUUGAAAUCUCCACUAUAUUGUGGGAGGAUGGAGGGAAGAUGCUGGUUGCUUGUGGAUUGCAUAUUUAUAACUGGUGUGAAUUCUAAUAAAAAAGAUGCUGAAAACUCAAGAGUUUUGGUUUGCUAUUUCUUUGCUGGGUCCAUAAUAAUACAUACCUUAUAUGAAGGUUAUACAUCACACACCCAGCACCUCCUAACCAACCUUUGAUCUCGGAAGUUGAAGCUUGGCAAUUCCUUGCAUCUGACAAAUCCAAGGAUAAAUUAUUGCUCUUGAUCCUUCAUACUACUUGGUGGUUAAUAUGGAAAGAAUGGAAUUCGAGAAUAUUCCAUGAUAAGGACUGCUCGAUUGUAGUUUUUUGGAUGGAUUGACCCUGGUUGAAUGGAAUGUGUACUAAUAUUUUUGAUUGUUUCAAAUUUUCAGAAGUGUUAUCCUUGUUAGUUCUGGGUUGCACCCCCUUGGUGCAGUUAAUAAAUCUUUUCUAUUAAAAAAA
Tripterygium wilfordii is the source of this 1741-nucleotide RNA transcript. It is a transcript of the gene named E3 ubiquitin-protein ligase RING1, with no coding region annotated. The record is from RefSeq and is a predicted model, not a curated record. The transcript is spliced from 3 exons. NCBI's taxonomy places the organism in Eukaryota, Viridiplantae, Streptophyta, Magnoliopsida, Celastrales, Celastraceae.